GACGAACGCUGGCGGCGUGCUUAACACAUGCAAGUCGAACGUGAUUUUUGUGGAAAACUCUUCGGGGACGGAAGCGAAAUGAAAGUGGCGAACGGGUGAGUAACACGUGAGCAACCUACCUUACACAGGGGGAUAGCCGUUGGAAACGACGAUUAAUACCGCAUGAGACCACAGUACUGCAUGGUAUAGGGGUCAAAGAUUUAUCGGUGUAAGAUGGGCUCGCGUCUGAUUAGCUAGUUGGAAGGGUAAAGGCCUACCAAGGCAACGAUCAGCAGCCGGUCUGAGAGGAUGAACGGCCACAUUGGAACUGAGACACGGUCCAAACUCCUACGGGAGGCAGCAGUGGGGAAUAUUGCACAAUGGGGGGAACCCUGAUGCAGCGACGCCGCGUGAGCGAAGAAGGUUUUCGAAUCGUAAAGCUCUGUCCUAUGAGAAGAUAAUGACGGUAUCAUAGGAGGAAGCCCCGGCUAAAUACGUGCCAGCAGCCGCGGUAAUACGUAUGGGGCGAGCGUUGUCCGGAAUUAUUGGGCGUAAAGGGUACGUAGGCGGCCUUUUAAGUCAGGUGUGAAAGCGUGAGGCUUAACCUCAUUAAGCACUUGAAACUGGAAGGCUUGAGUGAAGGAGAGGAAAGUGGAAUUCCUAGUGUAGCGGUGAAAUGCGUAGAUAUUAGGAGGAAUACCGGUGGCGAAGGCGACUUUCUGGACUUUUACUGACGCUCAGGUACGAAAGCGUGGGGAGCAAACAGG
RNAcentral lists this ribosomal RNA (746 nucleotides) under uncultured Parvimonas sp. Its description in RNAcentral is "bacterial SSU rRNA". It matches the Rfam family "Bacterial small subunit ribosomal RNA", at positions 28 to 776 of the family's 1533-position model. Lineage: Bacteria; Bacillati; Bacillota; Tissierellia; Tissierellales; Peptoniphilaceae. The record is from RNAcentral.